This 253-nucleotide ribosomal RNA is filed under the name uncultured bacterium. Its description in RNAcentral is "partial 16S ribosomal RNA". It matches the Rfam family "Bacterial small subunit ribosomal RNA", at positions 524 to 776 of the family's 1533-position model. The record is from RNAcentral.
UACGGAGGGUGCAAGCGUUGUCCGGAAUCACUGGGCGUAAAGGGCGCGUAGGCGGCUCAUGAAGGCUGUGGUGAAAGUCCGGGGCUCAACCUCGGAUCGGCCGUGGCGACUCGUGGGCUGGAGCACUGUAGAGGCGGGUGGAAUUCCGGGUGUAGCGGUGGAAUGCGUAGAGAUCCGGAAGAACACCAGUGGCGAAGGCGGCUCGCUGGGACGUGACUGACGCUGAGACGCGAAAGCGUGGGGAGCAAACAGG